GGCCUGGCCUGGUGGUCUUGCUGCAAAGUAAGCACUGCCUAGGUCGGGUCUUUCCUUCUGGGGAACCAAUGUGCUCUUAACUGAGUGCGUUGGGGAUCCAGGACUUUUACUUUGAAAAAAUUAGAGUGUUUAAAGCAGGCCUACGCUUGAAUAGAUUAGCAUGGAAUAAUAGAAUAGGAC
This 180-nucleotide ribosomal RNA is filed under the name uncultured Glomeromycotina. RNAcentral's name for it is "partial small subunit ribosomal RNA". The stretch from base 90 to 180 matches the Rfam family "Eukaryotic small subunit ribosomal RNA", at positions 735 to 828 of the family's 1831-position model. Lineage: Eukaryota; Fungi; Glomeromycota. The record is from RNAcentral.